GACAGCUGCCACCCUGAGCUGUGGGAAAGUGCUGAACUGUGAGAAGAUAUCGCCGCGUGAACAGCGUGUGAACAAGAAGGUGACUGGUCUGCACAGCGUGUGUUAGAGCGGUCUUAUGCUGAUAGGAGAAAAGGUAGAUUGCUGUCUAAUUGCUGAUUUACUAAUUAUGAAGUAAGAGCUUU
Molecule: long non-coding RNA, 182 nt
Organism: Athene cunicularia (burrowing owl)
Lineage: Eukaryota; Metazoa; Chordata; Aves; Strigiformes; Strigidae
Exons: 3
Source: RefSeq, a predicted model, not a curated record